GCUCUAGGGCAUACUACUAACAUGAGAUUGGGCUGCAAGUUGCCCCUUGGCAUAUUGGAGAGCCUCACUUGUUCCUUUCUUGUUUGGAUGCUUUGAUUUCUCUAGGCUAGAAUUCAUUGGCUCCCAUUUAUCACUGUUUUGAAAUGAUGUUAAACAGAUAUUUUCAGAAAGGAGAGGACAAUGGAAAGCUGCAACUCAGUCCCAAGAGUUCUUUAGAACUUUACAGCGAUAUUACAGCAACGCAUACAUGGAUGCUGAGAAACAAGAUUGCAUUAAUGUAUUCUUAGGUCACUUCCAGCCACAACAGGGAAAGCCAGCAUUAUGGGAAUUGGAUUCAGAUCAACAUCACAAUGUUAGAGGGCAUAGUCCUGGUUUGGUUGAUGAGGGUGCUAGGUACUAUAUUCCUCAUGAUUGCAAAUUUUGUCUAUUGUCAAAACUUUUGUUCAAUGGCAAACCAUUCCUUAGUGCAAUAUUGUGGUUUCCUUGAAAGUGCAAAACAGUUCAGGAAAUUAUGUUAGUAAAUUCGCACAUAUUGCUUUUAUCAGAUAAUGGAAAAAAUAAUCAGACAACCAAAAGAGACAUUUGGGGAUUUUUAAUGUAGGAGAGUUUUUGUCAUAAUCAAAGCUCUCAGUUUUCAUUCAAAAGUUUGCUUCUAUGUCUUUGAUCUUUUAUCUAAAAGUUUUAUGAAAUAAAGUAUAGUUAAGAGGAAAGCAUACAGAAGUCAAUUUAGUAAUAAUAUACACAUGUAUUAUAUAUAUCACAAACCUCAUUUUAUUGAAAAUAUGCCUCUGUACUGUGUAGAUCCUGUUCUGGUGUUGUGUACGGAUAAAGUUGUCAGCUUAAAAGCUAAUUGUUUUCUUUUGCG
RNAcentral lists this unclassified non-coding RNA (865 nucleotides) under Hevea brasiliensis (rubber tree). Lineage: Eukaryota; Viridiplantae; Streptophyta; Magnoliopsida; Malpighiales; Euphorbiaceae. The record is from RNAcentral.